AAAAGGAAGGAGGGAAGUUCCCUUUGUCUGAGUUACUUUCAGUUUUGACCGGAGUGGAAAAGCUCCAGAAUUCAGCCUCUUAUCAAGUAAUUGCACACUCUGUGGAGCAAGCACCAUGUCUUCCCCUGUAUUGGGAAAGCACCAAGCUCACUGUGGGUGCUACUGUAAUCUAAACAAUAAAUAUCAAACAAACAGAUGCCACGCCUGAAGGUGUUUACACGAUGCAAGAGAUGUGAAGGUGGAAGUUUGGAUAUAUGCUGUCCUUUCCUCCAAUAACAAUGAUCAUCCACUUCCCAGAAUGUUCAUAUUUUAUGAUAUACAGGCAAAACUGUUCACCUCCAUUUAUUUAGAACUGCAUCUUACCUGAAACAGUAAAACAAAAGUCUCUUCAACCUUCAUAAAGCAUUAGAUUUUACUAGCAGAACAUUAUUAUUGCAAGCACAUUAUUAAAUGCAUCUUUAGUAAAAUAGCAUUGUUAUUUGCAUGGAGUCUAUCCUGGUAAUAAAGCUUCUUGAAUCUGUGCUGAAAGAAAGAUUUCUUUUAAGGCUCAUUUACCCUUGGACUGAUAAAGCAGUUUCACAGAAUUCUUGACUUAAAACAGCUUUGGAAUAUAAAUGUAAACCCUGGGGGAAAUAGGGGAGAAGAGCAAAAGCAGUUCUGUACUGUACCUUCACUUGAGCAGAAGCAGACACCUGAAUUAAUCUCUUGCUGCUAAAAUAGAACAUAAUCUAAACUAAUCAAGGAAGGGUGAAGAGGUUGGGUUUGAAGUUGAACCUUAAAUUGAGAUUUAAUCCAAACACUGUAAUGCCAAGGCAAAACUGGACUCUUGGAAUUAAACAUACUGUACUAUGUG
Long non-coding RNA from Malaclemys terrapin pileata, 853 nucleotides. RefSeq lists it as uncharacterized. Lineage: Eukaryota; Metazoa; Chordata; Testudines; Emydidae. The transcript has 2 exons. The record is from RefSeq and is a predicted model, not a curated record.